Schistocerca gregaria is the source of this 1576-nucleotide long non-coding RNA. RefSeq lists it as uncharacterized. The transcript is spliced from 2 exons. Lineage: Eukaryota; Metazoa; Arthropoda; Insecta; Orthoptera; Acrididae. The record is from RefSeq and is a predicted model, not a curated record.
CUAGCACCUGCUGAUAUAUUCCAAUUUGCUUUGAUCUCUUCUAACUCUUGGAAAACAGGUGUUCAGUAAUUAUGUCAUCAUUCAUGGCCACUAUGUGGGUACAUAUUUGUGAAACAAUCAUCAAAUGGUACCACAUAUAACACGCAUUUCAUAUGACAUUAAAAACCACUAGAUUCCCUCAAAGGACCCAUCCCACAAAAAUGAGUAUUGUAAAGAAUGCCACAUUUGCCCUAAAUACAGUUAAAUAUCACAUCACUGCAAUAAUGUACUCACUAAAACAUUUCUGACCAUUCCCUCUCAGCUGCUGCUAUGUUAUUAGUACCUAACACACACCAAAAUGAGCGCACUUGCAGGUUAUACAGAUACAGAAAGGCCACUCCAAACACAAUCCAAGAUAAAAUGACAAACUUUCAUGCUGUAGCUACAGUCUCAUUAGAUGAUACUAUUCCAGUUGACACUAACAACUUCAUGCACUAAAAUCACCUGCCAUUUUCCUUCACCCUUCUUCCUUUCCCUCCAUCCCGAGAAUGAGCCACUGACUUCAAAAGCUUCCAUGCAUAAUACCUUUUUUGUACAAAUGUUAUCCUGCUUGUACUUUGUGAAUAGAUUUUUCAUCUAUCCAAUUACAUUAUAUUUUGUAUAGUAGCACCUAAUAAUGUUAUGUCAAGUUUAAGCCUUAAUGGUACGUAUGUCCAACAGAUUAUUCUUAUUUUAAUACACUGACAUUAACACUGUAAAUCUCUUAGCAUGAAUCUUUAUGAAUUAUUCGGCAAAUCAUCCCCACAACAUUUGUGCAUGUAACUUUUAAUGUGAUAUAUCAUAAUUUCCUCUCCAUCAUGCGAAGAGGUGCAUACAUAGCUUUCAAUAGUGCACUGUGCCAAACUGUUCCUAUGUUAAUCGCAUUCCCAUAUGCACUAACAGCUUGACACUACUAAGCCUGAAACAACUUAACUGCAAAGACCCACAUGUAACAAGUACAAAUUGUACCUAAACCCUUUAAUUUAUCUUAAUACAACUUUGUAACACUGCUCAAGCAGUUAGUCCCACUGUAACUAACCCAAACAAAGCACUACUUACCACAUAACAAACUUCAAUUAAUAUCAAAAUUUCUGAACAAAAAUGCAUUGUGUGCUUAGUAUGUACAUACUCCACAUGCUUAUCAACAUUUCUGCAAACACUUUGUGCAGACUCCCCAUUCCACGAUUUGUGUUUAGUGGAUUACUAGGAAUAUUCUGUGUCAAUCAAUCUGCAUUAUUUCCCUCCUGCAGUCACCUCAUUUAUCACUCUUCACCCUACAGGCUACCUAUUCUUCACAGCAUGACACUAUGAAUGGAAGUAAUACACAUUAUGCAUGCACUAGUAUUAGAAAAAACAAGUCACAUAAUCUACAUGUUACAGUCAUUGUAAUUAAAACACUUGAUAAAUACUUACUACUAAACGUCACAUAAAUUACAAGUUCAGCAAAAUUAUUUUCUCUGUGACACCUGUUUCUAACCAAUACAUUACAUAAAAUGUCAAGGCACCAGUAGCAGCAGUCCUCUUUUUCUCAGCACAAACAUUUGUCCUGAAAGAAACU